RNAcentral lists this unclassified non-coding RNA (2119 nucleotides) under Rhopalosiphum maidis (corn leaf aphid). RNAcentral's name for it is "serine/threonine-protein kinase NLK, transcript variant X1". The record is from RNAcentral. Lineage: Eukaryota; Metazoa; Arthropoda; Insecta; Hemiptera; Aphididae.
AUGGCUGUGGUCGGCCCGAGUCGACACUCCAGGGUGUCAAUGUCACUGAUGCAGGGCUCGACGAACGGUCCAGUUGGCAACCACCAGCAGGCCAGCGCUUCGCAACAGUUUUUCCACGCUCAACAGCAGUCUCACCAUGCCGCGCAAUCGGCCACUGCACAUCCGGUGGACUAUAAGCCUGACAGACCGAUUGGAUAUGGCGCCUUUGGAGUCGUCUGGGCUGUUACAGAUCCACGAGACGGACGAAGAGUUGCGUUGAAGAAGCUUCCAAAUGUUUUUCAAUCUCUAGUCUCCUCGAAACGAGUGUUUAGAGAAUUAAAAAUGUUAUGCAAUUUUAAACACGAAAAUGUAUUGUCCGCCCUUGACAUUCUGCAACCGCCUCAUUUGGAUUUUUUUCAAGAAAUAUACGUAAUAACGGAACUAAUGCAGAGUGACUUGCACAAAAUUAUAGUGUCGCCGCAGCAGCUGUCACCGGACCAUAUAAAAGUUUUCCUCUAUCAAAUCCUCAGGGGUCUCAAGUAUCUGCAUUCUGCACGAAUAUUGCACAGAGACAUCAAACCAGGAAAUCUUCUCGUCAACAGUAAUUGUAUUCUAAAGAUAUGUGACUUUGGUCUGGCCAGAGUAGAAGAACCAGACGAGACGAAACACAUGACUCAAGAAGUGGUGACACAAUAUUAUAGGGCACCGGAAAUAUUGAUGGGAGCCAAACAUUACACAUCAGCCAUAGACGUGUGGAGCGUCGGUUGUAUAUUUGCCGAACUCGUCACCCGGCGGAUACUGUUCCAAGGCCAAGAUACAGUUCAACAAUUGGAGUUGAUAACGGACUUGCUCGGUACGCCGACCAUGGAAGACAUGGCCCACGCGUGUCCGGCCGCCCGUUCCCACAUGCUCAUACGACGCAUGAAGAAACCGUCCAUGUCGCUAUUGUAUUCACUGUCUUCGUUGAUGACGCACGAGGCGGUUCACUUGAUUUCCCAAAUGCUAGUUUUCAAUCCGGAUAAACGGAUGUCUGUUAUGGACGCGCUGGUCCAUCCUUACAUAGACGAGGGUCGUCUUAGGUAUCACAGCUGUAUGUGUAAAUGCUGUUUCACGGUACCGUUGACGGGUCUGCGGCAUUUCUGUAUGGACUACGAACCGGUUGCGCCACAGACGUUCGACGACAAAUGGGAGAAGAAAAUGUCGAACGUACAACAAGUCAAAGAGGAACUUCACAAGUUUAUUGGCGACCAAUUGAGCAGUCAUCGCGUACCAUUGUGUAUAAAUCCCCAGUCAGCAGCAUUUAAAAGUUUCUCUAGGUAAGGCUGUGAGAAACAUCCAACUCUUCUGAAUCACCAAAUAAACUACACCUCGACUAACCGUGAUGUUUGAUCGGAGCAGACUGCCUCAAUUCCUUAUAUUUAUAUGUAUUUACAUUGUGUAUAUAUAUAUAUUAUAUUAACGUGAUAACCGGAUCUCAAAUUGGGCCCCCCGAGACCGAGACUGAAUGAAUGUAACACAAAUAAAAUCGAGACAAGAAGAUUAAACAUAAAAAAAAAAUUGUACAUAGUUCUGAAUUUUUAUUUCUUUCUUUUUAUUAUAUGUGUGAGCAAAAUGCUUGAUUUUUACUGAUUUAGACGAUUGAAAGCUCAGUGUCCCAACUUUUAUUUAUAUUUUUUUUUUUAGUACGCUUAUUUUCUUAUAAUAAUUAUUAUUUUUUAAUUCUUUUUUUUUUUUACCAACGAUAAAUUUUUUCGAUUUUCUCCGAUUUUUAAUGUUUACCAAUAUUAUAUAAUAACGCAUCUUAUUUAUAAAUAUGAAAAAAUAAAUAAUACUUGAUUUUUAAACUUUAUUCAUCCGGUAAUGAUAUUAAAAACAUACGCACACGAUGAACGCUAUAGGUUUAAAGACAUAACAUCAGCUUUAAACGGUCAUAAAAAGUAAUGUAUCGGAAAGACGUGUAUUUUAUAUUUUUAAUUGUGUAUAAUAUAUUAACGCGGUAAAAGACGAAUACGAGAACGCGGUAGUUUGCGUGGAAAAUACUUUUUGUAAAUAACGUACCUAAGUGAUUUUUUUUUCGUAAUGUAAAUAAUUAUUUGUACAUUUUAAAUGUGUAUUAUAAUAAUAUGUGAAUCGCACUUAA